Molecule: unclassified non-coding RNA, 270 nt
Filed under: Hevea brasiliensis (rubber tree)
Lineage: Eukaryota; Viridiplantae; Streptophyta; Magnoliopsida; Malpighiales; Euphorbiaceae
Source: RNAcentral
CAACAAGCAGCUAUGCAUCGUCACUUGUGGUGAUGACAAGAUGAUUAAGGUUUGGGAUGCUGUAGCUGGACGCAGGCAAUAUACAUUUGAAGGCCAUGAAGCUCCUGUAUAUUCUGUUUGCCCUCAUUACAAAGAAAAUAUCCAGUUCAUUUUUUCUACAGCAAUUGAUGGGAAGAUUAAGGCUUGGCUAUAUGAUUCUUUGGGAUCUAGAGUGGACUAUGAUGCUCCUGGACUUUGGUGUACCAUGAUGGCAUACAGUGCAGAUGGGAC